Molecule: ribosomal RNA, 326 nt
Filed under: uncultured bacterium
Lineage: Bacteria
Description: bacterial SSU rRNA
Rfam family: Bacterial small subunit ribosomal RNA
Source: RNAcentral
GAUGAACGCUGGCGGCGUGCUUAACACAUGCAAGUCGAACGGAGAGCCUAUGACGGAGUUUUCGGACAACUGAUUAGGUUUCUUAGUGGCGGACGGGUGAGUAACGCGUGAGGAACCUGCCUUGGAGUGGGGAAUAACACAGAGAAAUUUGUGCUAAUACCGCCAUAAUGCAAUUGAGUCGCAUGGCUCUGAUUGCCAAAGAUUUAUCGCUCUAAGAUGGCCUCGCGUCUGAUUAGCUAGUUGGUGGGGUAACGGCCCACCAAGGCGACGAUCAGUAGCCGGACUGAGAGGUUGACCGGCCACAUUGGGACUGAGACACGGCCCAG